RNAcentral lists this unclassified non-coding RNA (346 nucleotides) under Hevea brasiliensis (rubber tree). Lineage: Eukaryota; Viridiplantae; Streptophyta; Magnoliopsida; Malpighiales; Euphorbiaceae. The record is from RNAcentral.
ACACCAGGGUCGAAUAUCGCGGCCUCGACAAAAUCCCGAAGGGUCCGCUGAUCGUCGCCUCGAAACAUCAGUCGGCCUGGGAAACCUUCGCGCUGCUGCAAUUCUUUGAUCAGCCGCUUUAUAUCCUGAAGCGCGAGUUGCUGUGGCUUCCGUUGUUCGGCUGGUAUCUUAGCAAGGCCGGCAUGAUUGGCGUCAAUCGCAAAGCUGGCGGACGCACCUUGAUCGACAUCACCAGGCGCGCUGCCCGCGAAAUCCGGCGCGGCCGUCAACUCCUGAUUUUUCCUGAAGGAACGCGACGUGCCGUCAGCGCGCCGCCGGACUACAAGAACGGCGUCAGCCUGAUUUA